Callorhinus ursinus (northern fur seal) is the source of this 1338-nucleotide long non-coding RNA. RefSeq lists it as uncharacterized. The record is from RefSeq and is a predicted model, not a curated record. Lineage: Eukaryota; Metazoa; Chordata; Mammalia; Carnivora; Otariidae.
CUCAAUAAUUCCUUAUAAAAACCAUGCUUUUAGUAUUCCUCUGGAGAUAUGAGAACGUGGAUGGUAGGCAGGAAAGUUGUGCUGGUGUUCCCUUCUGCGUGGAACGACUGCUCAGUAUUGUAUAUAAGAACAACGCUGCACUGACUCUAGAUGGGACCUCCAGUUAAGAGGGGGAGGUGGAAUAAAGAAACUGCCUGCCUACUGCAAAUGGUAGCAGGAAAACGAAAUAUGAGGGGGGAUUUUGGCGGCGGGGGAGGGGUUCUAAGGUACAAGGAUUGUGUAAGGCCCUUUACUGAACCUACUGCCCACUCUCAAGCCAUGCAGUACCUCCCAAAGGUCUGAGAUUGCCUGUUACCUCACUUUCCAAUGCUCUGGGCCAAAUCUCCACUCCACUCAUCUCAAAACUAGCCCCUCUAAAUGGCUUUGGGGGUAGAAAUAGAGUCAAAGGGAUCAUUAGGUCGUUGGAUGAGUCAACUCCUCCACUAGAAGCACUAUUUGGAAGUUGAAACGAAAUCACGAACUGGUAUCACAAGCUUUUCCACCGAACGUUUCACCUUGAGGGAAAACGGAAAGAGUGCUCAAGAGGACUGGCUGUGGACGCAUUUUCCCGGCAGCGCCGAGUCCGCCGAGGCAGGGCAGAGCGGGCGCCCGCCGCGGCGGCGGGGAGCUGCAGCGCACGGGAAGCGCAGCGCCCGCAGGCGGCUCUCAGCCCUUCCCCCGCACCACCGUAAUUGCGGGUUUUAAUUAAGGAGGAGGAGCCUAGUUGCCCACUGAGACGUAGAAGUGAUUUUUUUUUUUUUAAGAGGGGACCUGGUUCCCGAAAUAAAGGCUCUAACCUGUCUCCUCACUCAUUCUUCCACCCUCGCUUCCAUCUCUCGCGGAGGAGGGGAGGUAGCCGGUGCGUGCGUACCUCGCUUCCUGUUUGAUUAACUCACGCGCCCGCCUCACGCUUUCUCAGAGGAGCAGGGGAGCAACCGCAACUCAGCCCCAAGAGCGGGCGAGCGAAACCCAGCGGGGCUAGCCCAACCGCGGCGCCGGUGCCUGCGCCCGCCUGCUCCUCGUCGGUGCCCACUGGCCCGCGGCGUCCAGGAAAGGGUCACAGGAGGAAUGUUGCCCGGGAAAUGUGGAGCGUCCCAGGCCGGUCAUUUCCCUGCGAGAAGUGUCCAGAAGUGUUCCUCAGAAAAAAUGUGCAGAGGUAGCGAGUUUCUUGAUAAAAAGUUUCUUCAUAAAUCUAUACUGAGGACUUAUGCUUCCAGGUUUCAACCAAGAUGGCACCAUGGAGAGAUCCAGAAUGCUCUUCAUUAGACACACAGGUGGUUGAGAAAACACAAACAUCAA